GUCUCUGCAGGUCAGUUGGUCAGAGCGCUGCACCUGAAUCGCAGGCCCGCAGGUUCGAUUCCCGCCAGGGACG
Non-coding RNA from Paramuricea clavata, 73 nucleotides. Lineage: Eukaryota; Metazoa; Cnidaria; Anthozoa; Malacalcyonacea; Plexauridae. The record is from the annotation of a GenBank genome assembly.